UGGGGAAUAUUGCACAAUGGGGGAAACCCUGAUGCAGCAACGCCGCGUGAGUGAAGAAGUAUUUCGGUAUGUAAAGCUCUAUCAGCAGGGAAGAAAAUGACGGUACCUGACUAAGAAGCCCCGGCUAACUACGUGCCAGCAGCCGCGGUAAUACGUAGGGGGCAAGCGUUAUCCGGAUUUACUGGGUGUAAAGGGAGCGUAGACGGCGCUGCAAGUCUGAAGUGAAAGUCCGGGGCUCAACCCCGGGACUGCUUUGGAAACUGUAAUGCUAGAGUGCUGGAGAGGUAAGUGGAAUUCCUAGUGUAGCGGUGAAAUGCGUAGAUAUUAGGAGGAACACCAGUGGCGAAGGCGGCUUACUGGACAGUAACUGACGUUGAGGCUCGAAAGCGUGGGGAGCAAACAGGAUUAGAUACCCUGGUAGUCCACGCGGUAAACGAUGAAUGCUAGGUGUUGGGGAGCAAAGCUCUUCGGUGCCGUCGCAAACGCAAUAAGCAUUCCACCUGGGGAGUACGUUCGCAAGAAUGAAACUCAAAGGAAUUGACGGGGACCCGCACAAGCGGUGGAGCAUGUGGUUUAAUUCGAAGCAACGCGAAGAACCUUACCAAGUCUUGACAUCCUUCUGACCGGCGCGUAACGGCGCCUUCUCUUCGGAGCAGGAGUGACAGGUGGUGCAUGGUUGUCGUCAGCUCGUGUCGUGAGAUGUUGGGUUAAGUCCCGCAACGAGCGCAACCCUUAUCCUUAGUAGCCAGCAGUAAGAUGGGCACUCUAGGGAGACUGCCAGGGAUAACCCGGAGGAAGGUGGGGAUGACGUCAAAUCAUCAUGCCCCUUAUGACCAGGGCUACACACGUGCUACAAUGGCGUAAACAAAGGGAAGCGAGCCCGCGAGGGGGAGCAAAUCCCAAAAAUAACGUCUCAGUUCGGAUUGUAGUCUGCAACUCGACUACAUGAAGCUGGAAUCGCUAGUAAUCGCGAAUCAGAAUGUCGCGGUGAAUACGUUCCC
This 1001-nucleotide ribosomal RNA is filed under the name uncultured bacterium. Its description in RNAcentral is "bacterial SSU rRNA". It matches the Rfam family "Bacterial small subunit ribosomal RNA", at positions 355 to 1375 of the family's 1533-position model. The record is from RNAcentral.